GUGAGUGUAGCUCAACGGUUAGAGCAUCGGACUGUGGAUCCGAAGGUUGGGGGUUCGAGUCCCCUCACUCACCCCU
This 76-nucleotide transfer RNA is filed under the name Candidatus Aminicenantota bacterium. RNAcentral describes it as "Candidatus Aminicenantes bacterium (hot springs metagenome) tRNA-His". It matches the Rfam family "tRNA". Rfam says of the family: Transfer RNA (tRNA) molecules are approximately 80 nucleotides in length. Their secondary structure includes four short double-helical elements and three loops (D, anti-codon, and T loops). The record is from RNAcentral. Lineage: Bacteria; Candidatus Aminicenantota.